Molecule: long non-coding RNA, 1044 nt
Organism: Zea mays
Lineage: Eukaryota; Viridiplantae; Streptophyta; Magnoliopsida; Poales; Poaceae
Exons: 2
Source: RefSeq, a predicted model, not a curated record
UUCCCUGAUUUCUCUCCCUCCCUCUUCUCUCUCCAUCCCCACCUCUCCUCCUCCUCUCUGCUCCCUUUCCCACGCGCCGCCAAGGAAAUCGCCGAGGACUCCAGCCCUGUACCCCGCGUGCCGAAGCCCCUGCAGCCUCCCCGCGUCCUCCACUCAUUCCUCUCUCUCCUCCCUUGCUCUCUCCCAGCGCUCGCCGCGACAGGAGCCAAGCGACCGCGCGACCCCGCGGUCGAGCGCCCUGCAGCGUCCGAGCUCGACCAGGCCGACAGCGCCCCAGCCGCGUCGCCCCUACCGAGCCACCCGCCCAAGGCCUCGACACGCCCGUGCCAGGAACCUGCGCGCCGAGCCCGACCCGACCGACCGCCCCGCGCCCACGCCCCGACCCGCGCUGCGCAGUAGCCGCGACCUCGCCCGAAGCCCGCGACAGAAACGCCCGUGCCCAGCCGUUCGUCUUCCUCUGCGUUAUUGGUGAUUCAAUGCGUCCGUUUUUCCCUCCCCAUUACUAUCCUCCAUGAGCCGACGCCGUUGAUGGGCGUUUGAAGACGCCGACCGCCCGUUUGCUCUCUCCCAAGCGCUCUACCUCCUCCUCGCUGGCCUAUAAAACCCACAGCCCGCGACGUUGUGCUCACCUCCGCGCUCGCCGCCUCGCCACACUUUCGUCGCGGUUAUCGGACGCAGCCAAAGCAUACCGCCUCCUCGCCAAGCUUCUCCACGCUAAAGCUCGUGCCCUCCUGCUGCUCGUCAGUCGAUUGCCGAUUGUCGUGCUCGCUCGACGUUGUCGUUGUACCCGUGCUGUUGUGCUCCUUCGCCGUCUCCGCGCCAAGCGUCGAUCCCACGCCGAACGCCGUUGCUGACCCUCGUUCGCCGAAGCUCGAUGUCAUCGAAUUUAUUCCUGAUGUUUCCUUCUACCUGUUGUCCUGGUGUGAGGUAGAAGACAUUUUUCUUAGACUACCUCUAAUGUACGUAGUAAAUAGAAUAGUUAUCCCUGCUGUGAUUUUCAUCCAUAUUUUCCUACCUAAAUAAAAUAGAAAUUUGUUUGAUUAA